UACGGGGGGGGCAAGCGUUGUUCGGAAUUACUGGGCGUAAAGGGCUCGUAGGCGGCCAACUAAGUCGGAUGUGAAAUCCCCAGGCUCAACUUGGGAACUGCAUCCGAUACUGGAUGGCUUGAGUUCGGGGGAGGGAUGCAGAAUUCCAGGUGUAGCGGUGAAAUGCGUAGAUAUCUGGAGGAAUACCGGUGGCGAAGGCGGCAUCCUGGACCGACAUUGACGCUGAGGAGCGAAAGCUAGGGGAGCAAACGGG
RNAcentral lists this ribosomal RNA (253 nucleotides) under uncultured bacterium. RNAcentral's name for it is "partial 16S ribosomal RNA". It matches the Rfam family "Bacterial small subunit ribosomal RNA", at positions 524 to 776 of the family's 1533-position model. The record is from RNAcentral.